RNAcentral lists this ribosomal RNA (253 nucleotides) under uncultured bacterium. RNAcentral's name for it is "partial 16S ribosomal RNA". It matches the Rfam family "Bacterial small subunit ribosomal RNA", at positions 524 to 776 of the family's 1533-position model. The record is from RNAcentral.
GACAGAGGUGCCGAGCGUUAGGCGGAAUCACUGGGCUUAAAGCGUGUGUAGGCGGACAAUUAAGUACCUUGUGAAAUCCCACGGCUUAACCGUGGAACUGCUGGGUAUACUGGUUGUCUUGAGCCACUUAGGGGCGAGCGGAACAAAUGGUGGAGCGGUGAAAUGCGUAGAUAUCAUUUGGAACGCCAAUGGUGAAAACAGCUCGCUGGGAGUGUGCUGACGCUGAGACACGAAAGCCAGGGUAGCGAACGGG